AGAUCGUGAGGACUACUGGAGCGCUUAGAAGUGAGAAUGCCGGUGUGAGUAACGUAAGGUAGGUGAGAAUCCUACCCACUAUUUGACCAAGGUUUCCAGGGUCAAGUUCGUCUUCCCUGGGUUAGUCGGGACCUAAGGCGAGGCUGAAAAGCGUAGUCGAUGGACAACAGGUUUAUAUUCCUGUACUACUUAUAGGACUGAUGGAGUGACGGAGAAAGCUAGGAAGAGCCAGUUAUUGGAUUCUGGUCUAAGCGUUUAGGUUGAUGCACAGGAAAAUCCGUGAUAUCGAUAAGACUGAAGCGUGAUGGCGACGUGGUCUACGGACCGCUAAGUCUUUUGAAGCUAUGCUUCCAAGAAAAACUUCUAAAGAUAUGUUAUAAGUACCCGUACCUAGAACCGACACAGGUGGUCAAGGAGAGAAUCCUAAGGUGAGCGAGAGAACUAUGGUUAAGGAACUCGGCAAAAUGACCCCGUAACUUCGGAAUAAGGGGAGGUGUAGCGAUACACCCUCAGGAAAUAGGUCCAGGCAACUGUUUACCAAAAACACAGGUCUCUGCUAAAGCGUAAGCUGAUGUAUAGGGGCUGACGCCUGCCCAGUGCUGGAAGGUUAAGAUGAUUUGUUAGGUGGACGAAAGUCGAUAACACCGAAGCUUUGAUUUGAAGCCCCAGUGAACGGCGGCGAUAACUAUAAUCGUCCAAAGGUAGCGAAAUUCCUUGUCAGGUAAGUUCUGACCCGCACGAAAGGCGUAAUGAUUUGGGCGCUGUCUCAACCAUGGACUCGGUGAAAUCUUAAUACCUGUGAAAAUGCAGGUUACCCGCGACAGGACGGAAAGACCCCAUGGAGCUUUACUGUAGCUUGAUAUUGAAGUUAGGUGAUUUAUGUAGAGGAUAGGUGGUAGACUGUGAUGUAUGGACGCCAGUUCAUACGGAGUCGCCCUUGGAAUACCACCCUUAAAUCAUUUGACCUCUAACUUACUCCCGUUAUCCGGGAGGAGGACAGUGUCUGGUGGGCAGUUUGACUGGGGCGGUCGCCUCCCAAAGAGUAACGGAGGCGCUCAAAGGUUCCCUCAGAUUGGUCGGAAAUCAAUCAAAGAGUGUAAUGGUAUAAGGGAGCUUGACUGCGAGACCUACAAGUCGAGCAGGUGCGAAAGCAGGACAUAGUGAUCUGGCGGUAGAAUAUGGAAUUGCCGUCGCUUAACGGAUAAAAGUUACCCUGGGGAUAACAGGCUGAUAGCGCCCAAUAGUUCACAUAGACGGCGCUGAUUGGCACCUCGAUGUCGGCUCGUCACAUCCUGGAGGUGGAUUCGCUUCCAAGGGUUGGGCUGUUCGCCCAUUAAAGUGGCACGCGAGCUGGGUUCAGAACGU
Molecule: ribosomal RNA, 1365 nt
Filed under: human gut metagenome
Description: bacterial LSU rRNA
Rfam family: Bacterial large subunit ribosomal RNA
Source: RNAcentral